Long non-coding RNA from Bubalus bubalis (water buffalo), 1825 nucleotides. RefSeq lists it as uncharacterized. The transcript is spliced from 3 exons. NCBI's taxonomy places the organism in Eukaryota, Metazoa, Chordata, Mammalia, Artiodactyla, Bovidae. The record is from RefSeq and is a predicted model, not a curated record.
CACCUUUACUCCAAUAUAAAAUAGUUGUUUUGUUUUUUUUUUUAAAGAACUUUCUAGACUUUGCUGGUGGUCCAGUGGUUAAGAUUCUGCCCUCCCAAUGUAGGGAGUGCAGGUUUGAUUCCUGGUAAGGGAAUCAAGAUUCCACAGACAAUAAUAAUAAAAGAACUCUCAAAUGAGGAAGAAACAACUCAAUAUUUUUAAAAAAGGCGGCCAAGGUUAUAAACAAACCACAGACCCAUGGAAGCCUAAAAAGUAAACAAAUGAAAAGCUGCGCAGCCUCACAUGUCUCUACUGAAGCUGUUUUAGGCAAAUUUCUUUCAGAAUGAAUGACGGAAUUUGUAAUGGUUUUUUGUUUUCAAGGAUGAGGAUGUAGAGAUUGUGGUUAAUGAACUAGGGCAUUGGGUCAUUUAUGAUACCCCUAACUCUGGGUUUUUCACAAUGAUGCUCUAGCAAUUGCUGUGUUGUACAAUUUUAGUACUUGAUUAGUAAUUGUUAUUGGCUGAUCACUGCUUAUAGGUGUUGGAGUCAUGAUGGAGGUUACUCUGGUAACUAAAUAGAAUUAUGCUCGGGAGGAGGUAAUGAGGAAUGAGAGGAAACAGUUCCCUCAGGCAUUUUUGGUCUGAUACAGUGUAGAGGUUUUUCUUUGGCUAAGAGAGAUGGAUUUGGGUAAAACAUGUUGUAGUCAGAAGUGAUGACACUGGUUUUUAGCUAUCUGAAAAAUUUAAUGAUAGUAAGGGGCGGUGCAGGAUCAUUGGAAAAGAGCCUAAGAGGUUAGAGAAUUUGAAGAGGUUUGAACGAUAAUUCAACUUUAGAUUUGGGGUAGUACGGUUGAUUUCUAGGGCCAGAAUAAAACCUGAAAUAGUCACGGCCAGGGCAGCUCGUUUCCAAUAACGAGGCAUUGUUAUUUGUGGAAUUUUUGUGGGGGAGAACAGUGUUGGAGAGAAGGAAUCCAGCGAAGAUGCUUCCAGCUAAUGGACGUUUGAUGGAAUGGAUUAGGAGCAGGUGAUUUUCAUUGAGAAGAGAGAGAAGCAAGGUUGUUCUGGGAGUGGGAGGAAAAUUUGCAUGCUGUAGACAGCUGGGAGCAGUGUGGUAAUGAGAGUGGUUAACAGGGCUCAGGCAUCGGUUACAAGGAGUUAGCAGUUUUCAUCAUCAGGUCUUUGGAAUAAGAACCGGUGAGGACGAGGCUUCCUGUUCUCGUGAGACUUCGGCGACGGGGGAGGUUGCGGUGAAAAGGGGAUCUUCCCAACCCACGGAUCAAACCCAGGUCUCCCACACUGCAGACAGAUGCUUUACCUUCUAGUCCUAUGAAAAUGCUACAUCAGGAGAUGAAUGAAGAAUGGACAAAUUCCAGUGAGUUCGUGAUGACUCUAAAGAUCUUGUUAUUCUCAUACGUCUGGAGGCAGGAAUUUUGCAAACUACACGAAUACCUGUAGCUUUACCAGAACCACCCUAGCUUUGCUUCACUUUCCUAGUCACUGAACAACCUGAACGAGAAUGAGCCUGUUUGGGGGACUGUUACCCAUACUAGGAAAUGUGACUGAGUCCAAAUUUGCUGCUCUGGAAGUAUUUGAAGGCCUUUAGUUCACAACAUUCUUUUGUAACUCUUCACUCGUGGUUCCCUAGAGAUGUUGUUUUAAUGUGUGUUCUAGCUUUCCCAGAGGGAGAGCCCACAGGUGGACACAGUUUUCCCUGCCCUUGCCCCACGCCCUGGCAGAUCCAAAGUCCAGUAUUCUCACCCACGUUGUAAAGCCAACUCCUUAGAAGUCUGGAGAACACGUUCAUUUAAACACUAUGCUUCUGUAAUAAACAAACAACUACAAAGGUA